This 320-nucleotide ribosomal RNA is filed under the name uncultured Clostridiaceae bacterium. RNAcentral's name for it is "bacterial SSU rRNA". It matches the Rfam family "Bacterial small subunit ribosomal RNA", at positions 28 to 339 of the family's 1533-position model. The record is from RNAcentral. Lineage: Bacteria; Bacillati; Bacillota; Clostridia; Eubacteriales; Clostridiaceae.
GAUGAACGCUGGCGGCGUGCCUAACACAUGCAAGUCGAGCGAGAAGGAAUGAAGUGCUUGCACGGAUUUUCGGACAGCGGCGGACGGGUGAGUAACGCGUAGGUAACCUACCUUAUGCACGGGGAUAGCUCCGGGAAACUGGGAUUAAUACCUGAUAAAGCGGUGAGAUCACAUGGUUUUAUCGCCAAAGAUUUAUCGGCGUAAGAUGGACCUGCGUCUGAUUAGCUGGUUGGUGAGGUAACGGCCCACCAAGGCGACGAUCAGUAGCCGACCUGAGAGGGUAAUCGGCCACAUUGGAACUGAGACACGGUCCAAACUCC